UCUGGUUGAUCCUGCCAGUAGUCAUAUGCUUGUCUCAAAGAUUAAGCCAUGCAUGUCUAAGUAUAAAUAGUAUACAGUGAAACUGCGAAUGGCUCAUUAAAACAGUUAUAGUUUAUUUGAUAAUUGACAAUUACAUGGAUAACCGUGGUAAUUCUAGAGCUAAUACAUGCUUAAACGCCCGACUUUAUGGAAGGGUGGUAUUUAUUAGACUGAAGCCAAUAUUCCUUGUGUCUAUUGCGGUGAUUCAUAAUAACUGAUCGAAUCUCUUUUUGAGAUAAAUCAUUCAAGUUUCUGCCCUAUCAGCUUUCGAUGGUAGUGUAUUGGACUACCAUGGCAGUAACGGGUAACGAAGAAUUAGGGUUCGAUUUCGGAGAGGGAGCAUGAGAAACGGCUACCACAUCUAAGGAAGGCAGCAGGCGCGUAAAUUACCCAAUCCUGACUCAGGGAGGUAGUGACAAGAAAUAGCAAACCGGGAACCUCAUGGUUUCACGGUAUUGCAAUGAGAACAAUUUAAAACCCUUAGCGAGAAUCAAGUGGAGGACAAGUCUGGUGCCAGCACCCGCGGUAAUUCCAGCUCCACUAGCGUAUAUUAAAGUUGUUGCAGUUAAAAAGCUCGUAGUUGAACCUCUGUCUGGGGCUAGUUUUGGCUUUGGUCAGGCUAGUUCUAGGCAUCCGCCUACAAGACUUAGAGGGCAUUCAGUUGUUCACUAGGAGGAGUAGGCAUUUUACUUUGAAAAAAUUAGAGUGUUUAAGGCAGGCAAUCGCCCGCAUAUAUUAGCAUGGAAUAAUAGAAUAGGACACUUUUCCAUUUCGUUGGUUAUUGGAAUCGUGUAAUGAUUAAUAGGGACAGUUGUGGGCAUUUGUAUUUAAUUGUCAGAGGUGAAAUUCUUGGAUUUAUUAAAGACAAACUAACGCGAAAGCAUUUGCCAAGGAUGUUUUCAUUAAUCAAGAACGAAAGUUAGGGGAUCAAAGACGAUCAGAUACCGUCCUAGUCUUAACUAUAAACUAUUCCGACUCAAUGUUUGACUGGCUUAUAUAACCAGUUGAGCGUUGUAUGAGAAAUCAAAGUCUUUAGGUUCUGGGGGGAGUAUGGUUGCAAAGCUGAAACUUAAAGGAAUUGACGGAAGAGCACAACCAGGAGUGGAUUCUGCGGCUUAAUUUGACUCAACACGGGGAAACUUACCAGGUUAAAACAAUAGUGGGAUUGACAGUUUGAGAGCGC
This 1222-nucleotide ribosomal RNA is filed under the name metagenome. RNAcentral's name for it is "SSU rRNA". It matches the Rfam family "Eukaryotic small subunit ribosomal RNA", at positions 1 to 1257 of the family's 1831-position model. The record is from RNAcentral.